AGGCCUACGGGCACAGCAGUGGGGAAUAUUGCACAAUGGGGGAAACCCUGAUGCAGCGACGCCGCGUGAGUGAAGAAGUAUUUCGGUAUGUAAAGCUCUAUCAGCAGGGAAGAAAAUGACGGUACCUGACUAAGAAGCCCCGGCUAACUACGUGCCAGCAGCCGCGGUAAUACGUAGGGGGCAAGCGUUAUCCGGAUUUACUGGGUGUAAAGGGAGCGUAGACGGUGAUGCAAGUCAGAAGUGAAAGCCCGCGGCUCAACUGCGGGCCUGCUUUUG
This 276-nucleotide ribosomal RNA is filed under the name uncultured bacterium. RNAcentral describes it as "partial 16S ribosomal RNA". It matches the Rfam family "Bacterial small subunit ribosomal RNA", at positions 335 to 629 of the family's 1533-position model. The record is from RNAcentral.